UUAGCUUGCUAAGUUUGAUGGCGACCGGCGCACGGGUGAGUAACACGUAUCCCACCUGCCGAUGACUCGGGGAUAGCCUUUCGAAAGAAAGAUUAAUACCCGAUGGCAUAGUUCUUCCGCAUGGUAGAACUAUUAAAGAAUUUCGGUCAUCGAUGGGGAUGCGUUCCAUUAGGUUGUUGGCGGGGUAACGGCCCACCAAGCCUUCGAUGGAUAGGGGUUCUGAGAGGAAGGUCCCCCACAUUGGAACUGAGACACGGUCCAAACUCCUACGGGAGGCAGCAGUGAGGAAUAUUGGUCAAUGGACGAGAGUCUGAACCAGCCAAGUAGCGUGAAGGAUGACUGCCCUAUGGGUUGUAAACUUCUUUUAUACGGGAAUAAAGUGAGGCACGUGUGCCUUUUUGUAUGUACCGUAUGAAUAAGGAUCGGCUAACUCCGUGCCAGCAGCCGCGGUAAUACGGAGGAUCCGAGCGUUAUCCGGAUUUAUUGGGUUUAAAGGGAGCGUAGGCGGACGCUUAAGUCAGUUGUGAAAGUUUGCGGCUCAACCGUAAAAUUGCAGUUGAUACUGGGUGUCUUGAGUACAGUAGAGGCAGGCGGAAUUCGUGGUGUAGCGGUGAAAUGCUUAGAUAUCACGAAGAACUCCGAUUG
Molecule: ribosomal RNA, 645 nt
Filed under: uncultured Bacteroides sp.
Lineage: Bacteria; Pseudomonadati; Bacteroidota; Bacteroidia; Bacteroidales; Bacteroidaceae
Description: bacterial SSU rRNA
Rfam family: Bacterial small subunit ribosomal RNA
Source: RNAcentral